ACUUGCAGAAGGCCCCGACAAACAACCCUGAUCUGAAUGUGAAGAAGCUGUACUGUGCAUGCUGGACAUUGGGUGCAGCAGCUACAGAGAAUUCAAAUUAAAACUUCUUCUGGAGCUCAGGGCUAGACUCUGCCUAACACACAUUGCUCUUCAGGAGAUGGAAGGUAAAGAAAGCAGCAUGGCUCUGACGUACACUCCUGGCUUUGGACCACAUCUUCGCUUAUAAUUUAUGAACACGGGGACUUGCGACUGGCACAAAAUUAUAUAGAAAAUGCCUACAGGUAGGAUGUGGUUCUAUAUUUGCUAAUAGCUAUUCCAAAAUGCACACAUUCAUCUCCAUCAUGUAGAGUAUGCACCUAAGUGUAGCUGGCAGCAUGGCAGAUUCUAAAGGAAACUGUUAAUUGAAUGCUGCAGAUUCUGAUUAUAUAUCAC
RNAcentral lists this long non-coding RNA (432 nucleotides) under Coturnix japonica (Japanese quail). RNAcentral's name for it is "lncRNA (ENSCJPG00005018071.1)". Lineage: Eukaryota; Metazoa; Chordata; Aves; Galliformes; Phasianidae. The record is from RNAcentral.